This is a long non-coding RNA of Ipomoea triloba (trilobed morning glory), 1157 nucleotides long. RefSeq lists it as uncharacterized. The record is from RefSeq and is a predicted model, not a curated record. The transcript has 2 exons. NCBI's taxonomy places the organism in Eukaryota, Viridiplantae, Streptophyta, Magnoliopsida, Solanales, Convolvulaceae.
UUGAGGCUCCAAAUAAUUCACAAAGCCCCAUCACUUCAAGGGCACGCAGUGAGCUAGACAGACUGGCUCGUGCAUUCAUGGAGCCGAAAUACUUCGGCUUCAUAGUAGUAAAUUUUUUUUGAAUAUUGAAUUGUUUUAUUUUGAUUAUCUUGGAUUAUUGCACUUGCGACGACGGUGGGUUGCUGGCGCGGGCCCUCUAUGUCUAGGAUCUCGUCUGCCCUCCCAAGCCAGCGUUCUUAUCCGAUAAACUUGAGGAUAUACUUCUGGUAACCAUUUCAAGAAACUGCGCAAGGGUAUUGGAGCUUCAUAGCUUUAUAGGUACAACAAAGCCAAUGAAAUUCCAUUGCAAGCACUGGAAUGAAAAUUAUUGGUUAUUUUACUUAUUUGCUUUGUUUAUGAUUUAAAUUAUUAUUAUAAAUAAAAAUAAAUAAAUAAUAAUUUGCACUAGUAAUUUAGGGAAUGUUGAUGAUGAGUUUAUUCCAAACCGAAUAGCCGACUGAACAAAUUAGAAAAUGGUAUCAUUUUUAAAAUAUCAAGCAAAAACCAAAACUGAUAAGAGAACCCGAAAAAAACGCCCCCAAAUUAAACCAUGCUUUGUAAAUAAGUCCUCAAAUACUAACAAAACUGGGAAAGGUGUGGUUUUUGGUCUUGGAACUCUAUUCGGCGCCAUCUUCCACAACGGUUGACCAUAGCUAUUUUUGAAAAACUAAAAAUUUUCUAUAGUGUAAAUUAUAUUAAUCAAUAAUCAACAUUUAUUUUAAUUGGUAGCGAUUAUCUUUUAUUUAUUUGUUUUAUAAUGAGAAUUUAGUAAUUUAUGUAGACUUUGAAGACAAUCUUAGUCGUUCAUUCCAUGUCUAUUGUGCGAAGACUUAGACAUUGACUUGCAAUUUGCAAGAAGAAUAAUGCAUGAAUUGUAGGGCAGCGGUAUUUAUUGCACAUCAAUGUGAAUGUACGUACAUAGGAAAUAGAAAAGAUCCAUAUUUUUAAUUUCUUUAGGUUUAUAUCCAAUAAUAUCCAAUAAUAUCACGUAAUGUUUUACUUGUGUUUCUUCCACAUCAUUACCGCAUAGCAUGUUAAGUAUAGUAUCUAUUAUUAAAAAGUUGUCUUUGUUAAACGCUAUCAUUUUUUAUGUAAUGGUAAAAAUUUGAUCUGACUAA